UACCUGCAGCUCAAGUGGUGGCCGCUAUUAUUGGGCCUAAAACGUUCGUAGCCGGUUUGGUAAAUGCCUGGGUAAAUCGUGUAGCUUAACUAUACGAAUUCCGGGUAGACUGCUAAACUUGAGACCGGGAGAGGCUAGAGGUACUCCUGGGGUAGAGGUGAAAUUCUGUAAUCCUGGGGGGACCACCAGUGGCGAAGGCGUCUAGCUAGAACGGGUCUGACGGUGAGGAACGAGGCCCUGGGGCACAAACCGGAUUAGAUACCCGGGUAGUCCAGGGUGUAAACGCUGCUUGCUUGAUGUUAGUUGGGCUCCGAGCCCAACUAGUGUCGGAGAGAAGUUGUUAAGCAAGCUGCCUGGGGAGUACGGUCGCAAGACUGAAACUUAAAGGAAUUGGCGGGGAGCACAGCAACAGGUGGAGCGUGCGGUUU
This 428-nucleotide ribosomal RNA is filed under the name uncultured archaeon. Its description in RNAcentral is "bacterial SSU rRNA". It matches the Rfam family "Archaeal small subunit ribosomal RNA", at positions 474 to 903 of the family's 1478-position model. The record is from RNAcentral.